GUGGUGAUGUAGUGGUAAGCAUGCUGGCCUCUCACGCCAAAGGCCUGGGUUCGAAUCCCGGUGGAAACA
RNAcentral lists this transfer RNA (69 nucleotides) under Haliotis rubra (blacklip abalone). Its description in RNAcentral is "tRNA-Glu". The stretch from base 5 to 61 matches the Rfam family "tRNA", at positions 8 to 63 of the family's 71-position model. Rfam says of the family: Transfer RNA (tRNA) molecules are approximately 80 nucleotides in length. Their secondary structure includes four short double-helical elements and three loops (D, anti-codon, and T loops). Lineage: Eukaryota; Metazoa; Mollusca; Gastropoda; Lepetellida; Haliotidae. The record is from RNAcentral.